This 255-nucleotide ribosomal RNA is filed under the name uncultured Stenotrophomonas sp. RNAcentral describes it as "partial 16S ribosomal RNA". It matches the Rfam family "Bacterial small subunit ribosomal RNA", at positions 97 to 355 of the family's 1533-position model. Lineage: Bacteria; Pseudomonadati; Pseudomonadota; Gammaproteobacteria; Lysobacterales; Lysobacteraceae. The record is from RNAcentral.
GGCGGACGGGUGAGGAAUACAUCGGAAUCUACUCUGUCGUGGGGGAUAACGUAGGGAAACUUACGCUAAUACCGCAUACGACCUACGGGUGAAGCAGGGGAUCUUCGGACCUUGCGCGAUUGAAUGAGCCGAUGUCGGAUUAGCUAGUUGGCGGGGUAAAGGCCCACCAAGGCGACGAUCCGUAGCUGGUCUGAGAGGAUGAUCAGCCACACUGGAACUGAGACACGGUCCAGACUCCUACGGGAGGCAGCAGCA